UACAGGGGGUGCAAACGUUGCUCGGAAUCAUUGGGCGUAAAGCGCACGUAGGCGGCUUGGCAAGUCGGAUGUGAAAUCCCUCGGCUCAACCAAGGAAGUGCAUCCAAAACUGCUGAGCUUGAGUACUUAAGAGGAUCGCGGAAUUCCCGGUGUAGAGGUGAAAUUCGUAGAUAUCGGGAGGAACACCAGUGGCGAAGGCGGCGAUCUGGGAAGAUACUGACGCUGAGGUGCGAAAGCUCGGGGAGCAAACAGG
Molecule: ribosomal RNA, 253 nt
Filed under: uncultured bacterium
Lineage: Bacteria
Description: partial 16S ribosomal RNA
Rfam family: Bacterial small subunit ribosomal RNA
Source: RNAcentral